GGUACUAGGCAAGAGCUCGCCGAGGCUCUUAACCCGUAGGUCCCGGGUUCAAAUCCCGGCGGGCCCGCCA
Molecule: transfer RNA, 70 nt
Filed under: Fervidicoccus fontis Kam940
Lineage: Archaea; Thermoproteati; Thermoproteota; Thermoprotei; Fervidicoccales; Fervidicoccaceae
Description: tRNA-Leu (CAA) (tRNA-Leu-CAA-2-1)
Source: RNAcentral